UUGACACAUACAUCAAUGAAGGUUAAACAGCAUUGACAAUGCAUCCAGUAGGGAUUUAUCCGGUGAUACACACAUCAGCGAAGAUCAGGCAACCUUGAUAACAAUAAACUGUUGGUAGUAACUCCGACAGUAUGACGAAACAUGUUAUCACAUCCUCAAAAUAGAUAAAGCCUUAUCCCCACAGAUCUCUUCCACACAAGAGGUACCUCUAUGGAG
RNAcentral lists this long non-coding RNA (216 nucleotides) under Panax ginseng (ginseng). RNAcentral describes it as "long non-coding RNA (PGIN_LNC000693)". Lineage: Eukaryota; Viridiplantae; Streptophyta; Magnoliopsida; Apiales; Araliaceae. The record is from RNAcentral.